AUGGGAACGCGAAGAACCUUACCUACUCUUGACAUCCAGAGAACUUAGCAGAGAUGCUUUGGUGCCUUCGGGAACUCUGAGACAGGUGCUGCAUGGCUGUCGUCAGCUCGUGUUGUGAAAUGUUGGGUUAAGUCCCGCAACGAGCGCAACCCUUAUCCUUUGUUGCCAGCGGUCCGGCCGGGAACUCAAGGAGACUGCCAGUGAUAAACUGGAGGAAGGUGGGGAUGACGUCAAGUCAUCAUGGCCCUUACGAGUAGGGCUACGACACGUGCUACAAUGGCGCAUACAAAGAGAAGCGACCUCGCGAGAGCAAGCGGACCUCAUAAAGUGCGUCGUAGUCCGGAUUGGAGUCUGCAACUCGACUCCAUGAAGUCGGAAUCGCUAGUAAUCGUAGAUC
RNAcentral lists this ribosomal RNA (397 nucleotides) under uncultured bacterium. Its description in RNAcentral is "bacterial SSU rRNA". It matches the Rfam family "Bacterial small subunit ribosomal RNA", at positions 954 to 1350 of the family's 1533-position model. The record is from RNAcentral.